GUUCUGUUUCGUUUCUUCCCUAGCUCUGACUCUUCAUUUUUUGAAGGGGCAUUUAUUGCAGAAGACAAAUCUGUGUCUGCAUUUGUUGAUGCCUUGCAUAAAGCUGUGAAACAGCUACCUGGACAAGGCAGAUGUGGGAGCUCUUCGUGGACAGCAGCGAAGGAGACUUCUAGGUGGACCUUCAAGUUGGACGAAGAGGGCAUGGAGGUUGCGGUGUGUCGGCAUGGUUUCCUCCUUAAAACACUUAACAUGUUUAGAGGUGAAAUCUUUGCCUACCCCAUGUAUCUGCACAAGGAGUUGAUGGGUUCAAAGCCAAGGUUUAUCGCUAUGGAUGUAAUGUGUAAAUACUGGC
Paramisgurnus dabryanus is the source of this 352-nucleotide non-coding RNA. The record is from RefSeq and is a predicted model, not a curated record. NCBI's taxonomy places the organism in Eukaryota, Metazoa, Chordata, Actinopteri, Cypriniformes, Cobitidae.